GAUGAACGCUGGCGGCGUGCCUAAUACAUGCAAGUCGAGCGAACAGACGAGGAGCUUGCUCCUCUGACGUUAGCGGCGGACGGGUGAGUAACACGUGGAUAACCUACCUAUAAGACUGGGAUCACUUCGGGAAACCGGCGCUAAUACCGGAUAAUAUAUUGAACCGCAUGGUUCAAUAGUGAAAGACGGUUUUGCUGUCACUUAUAGAUGGAUCCGCGCCGCUUUAGCUAGUUGGUAAGGUAACGGCUUACCAAGGCAACGAUGCGUAGCCGACCUGAGAGGGUGAUCGGCCACACUGGAACUGAGACACGGUCCAGACUCCUACGGGAGGCAGCAGUAGGGAAUCUUCCGCAAUGGGCGAAAGCCUGACGGAGCAACGCCGCGUGAGUGAUGAAGGUCUUCGGAUCGUAAAACUCUGUUAUUAGGGAAGAACAAAUGUGUAAGUAACUAUGCACGUCUUGACGGUACCUAAUCAGAAAGCCACGGCUAACUACGUG
RNAcentral lists this ribosomal RNA (497 nucleotides) under uncultured bacterium. Its description in RNAcentral is "partial 16S ribosomal RNA". It matches the Rfam family "Bacterial small subunit ribosomal RNA", at positions 28 to 507 of the family's 1533-position model. The record is from RNAcentral.